Molecule: ribosomal RNA, 354 nt
Filed under: bacterium LimC-100-A-322
Lineage: Bacteria
Also listed under: 13 other names
Description: bacterial SSU rRNA
Rfam family: Bacterial small subunit ribosomal RNA
Source: RNAcentral
GGCCUGAGAGGGUGACCGGCCACACUGGGACUGAGACACGGCCCAGACUCCUACGGGAGGCAGCAGUGGGGAAUAUUGCACAAUGGGCGAAAGCCUGAUGCAGCGACGCCGCGUGAGGGAUGACGGCCUUCGGGUUGUAAACCUCUUUCAGUAGGGAAGAAGCGAAAGUGACGGUACCUGCAGAAGAAGCGCCGGCUAACUACGUGCCAGCAGCCGCGGUAAUACGUAGGGCGCAAGCGUUAUCCGGAAUUAUUGGGCGUAAAGAGCUCGUAGGCGGUUUGUCGCGUCUGCUGUGAAAGGCCAGGGCUCAACCCUGGUUCUGCAGUGGGUACGGGCAGACUUGAGUGAUGUAGG